This 3052-nucleotide long non-coding RNA is filed under the name Gossypium barbadense (sea-island cotton). RNAcentral's name for it is "long non-coding RNA (GBAR_LNC003899)". The record is from RNAcentral. Lineage: Eukaryota; Viridiplantae; Streptophyta; Magnoliopsida; Malvales; Malvaceae.
UAAUUUUGACUAGUUUUAUUAUUAACAAAUCAAAAAGAAAAAGCUAUCAUUUUUCUCUUCUCCUUCACCGAAAUAUGCAGCAAAGAAAUGGCUUUGAAGCUGGAAAAUUUCAGCAACAUAUUUCCCUUGCUUGUAAGUGAUUUUAAUGUCUUUGCUUGAUGAUUUUUACAUUUUUGGAACCCCUAAAGCAUGAGCUUUCAUAUGAGGGGUCUAUUUUGCAAAAUGAUGAAGAGUCUAGGGUUUUGCCAUGAGAGUAAAUGUGUUGUUUGCUCUGUUUUUAUGGAAGAUUAUGAGUCCUAGUUGUCUAAUAAACAACUUUUGUGAAAGAAAUUGCAUAAAAACACCUUAACAAGGGCUAGAUUGUUAAGUUGUAAAAUGAGUUGUAAAUGUGUGAAAUAGUUGAAAUUAUGAGUUGCUAUAGUUAUGAAAAUGGUUCAUCUAGACUCAAGGAGUAAAGAAAUGAGAUAAAAAUUAUUUUACGAGCCUAGGGGUAAUUUGGUAAUUUUGGCAAAAUAUAGGGGCAAAAUUGUAAAAAUUGCCCAAGUGUGUCAAUUGACUAAUUUGAUCAGUACAUUGUUUUAAUAAGUUGAAUGUGAUAUUUUAGAUGAUGAAAAUCGAGAUUUGGACCUAGAACGGAAAGAAAUCGAUUAAGGGAUAAUUACGUCUUUUUUUCACCUUUGUGGUAUCGAGGUAAGUUCAUGUGUAAAUAAUGUAGCAUAAUUGUUAUUUUUAAGUUAUUGAUGUUAAAUAUAUGAUAUACUGAUUUUUAUCAUGAAAUAUAUGCUUUGUGGUUAUUUUCGAAUAAAAUGCAAGUUAUGUGUAUUAUCUGUUAAAUACAAAGUGCUACCGAGUAUUAGUUUCGGUAUUUUACGGAAGAUGGCAAGGAGAUGUGUUCGAGGAAAAUCCCGUUUGAACCUUAGGAAUAGAUUAGGAUACAAGUGACAUGUCACUAGGAUGGUUGAGCAUCCGAACUUGUUGAGUUGAGUCCGAGUUCACUUAUGGAUGCGAAUGUUCGAACUCGUUGAGUUGAGUUCGAGUUCGUGAGAUGUAACUAGGCAUCCGAGCUCGUUGAGUUGAGUCCGAGUUAAUUUAUGGAUGCGAACGCCCGAGCUCGUUGAGUUGAGUCCGAGUUCACUUAUGGGCGGGUUACAUGGUAGCUUGGCUACAUAUGUGGCACUUAUGUGCAAACUUUCCAUGUAUUCGAAUUAUAUUCCGAUGUGUUCAACGGGUAAAAUUCUACUCAAAUGGAAGAAUACUCGAGAUGAAAGGGACGUAUUGAUAAAUGUUGUGAAAUGGAUACUUUGAACAGGUAUGAAAUGGAUACUUUGAACAGGUAUGUACUUAACCCUCGGGUUGAAAACUCGACAUAACAACAAAAUGGUAAGAUGGUAAAUGAAAAUGUGAUAUGAAUGUCUCGGUGAUGAUUAUACAAACGAUGUUGUAUUAAUUUUGUGAACAAUGAUCAUGAAUAAGUAAUUUAGCCUUGACAGAUUUAAGUUACUGCAGUAGUGUAACUUUGAAAAUACACUAAAAAUAAUGGAAAAUGAGUUAGAGUCAGAAUAAAAUAUGGGAUUAAAGCUUAAUGAGUCUAUUUUCAUAUGAAAGAAACAGAGGAAGAAAAAGAAUUCUAUAUUGUGUGAUAUUUAAAUUCUUGUGAAACAGGGUCUGAAUGAAUUCGAGAUCCCCUAUUCUGACUUUAUAAAUUCACCAUAAAUUGUAAAAAAAUUAUUAAGAGUCAUAUCUUACAUUCAUGGAUUUCUUAUUGAGUAUAUUUUUAAGGGAAAUAAACGGCAUGGUCUUUGUAAUUUUGUACAGGGAGAAAUUCGGUUUGUAGUGCACAGGGGUCAGAGUGGUCAUACCCUGAAACAGGGGAUACUUUAACUAAUAAACUGUACUAAUUGGCCCAACCAAAAAUUCUAUAAAAAAAUUAGUAAGUAGAAAUAUGAGUCUAUUUUCAAGAGAAAUAGACGAGAACAUUAUUCGAGUCUUGUACUAUGAGAUAAUUGAACUUUAGUACAGAAGGGUCGGAACUGUCAGACAGUGAAUCAGGGGUAACUUUGAGGAAUAAACUGUACUAUUUGGCUUAACCAAAAAUUCUGAAAAUUUUAUGGAAGAAAGGAAAAUAAGUCUAGUUUCAAGGAAAAUUAACGGAACUUAAUUCGGAGUUUCGUAGCUCCAGAUAUAAAUAAUUUAGUGACCAUUGCUCAGAAAGACAGCUUGUAGUGAACUUGAGAAUAUGUUGUAAAUAUUGAUAAAACAAGUUAAUGAGUGCUUAUUGUUUUCAUAUGAACUUACUAAGCGAAAGCUUACCCCCCUUCUUCUUUCCCAUGUUUUCUAGAGUUUCCAGGUUAGCUCGGGUUGGAGGCCGUCAGAGAUAUUAUCACAUUGUCAAGCUAACGCUAUUGGUGUAGUGAUUUCAAGUACUUUGAGCCUAUGGCAUGUAUAGGAGUUUAAAUAUUAGAGUAUGUGAUAUGCUUUAACCAUAUGUGUUGGCCUAUUUUGAUUAUGGGGUUGUAAAUCUAUUUUAAUUAUGCAUGCAUGUGCUAUGGUAUUAUGUGAUGAGUUUAUAAUGAUUAUAGUAUGAAUGUGGUAAAGAUGUGAGUAAAAUCUAUGAUAUCUAUUGCAUGUGAAAUUGCCAUAAUCAUGACAUGUUAGGAAUGUUUAAGUACCUAAUUUUGCCAUGUUGUAUGUUAUUGUAUAAGUAUGCGUGUAUCUAUUGUGAGUGUGACAAAAUGGCUUGGAAAAUAGCCUUGUAUUUGUCCAGGUUUUUGGACACGGGUUUGGGACACGGGCGUGUCCCUAGCACACGGGCGUGUGCUCUAUACCCACACGGGCAUAUGAAGCCUUGAUGCAAGAGAUUUUCUAAGUUUUUCAUGAGUUCUCGGUUGGGUCUCGAACCACUCCAGAUGUAUGUUUUGGGCCACGUAAGCCCGUAUAUGGGACAGAUUGUAUGUGAAAAUAAAAGUUUUUAAUUAUUUGAGAUUUCAUGGCCCUGUUUAGUAUGGAAGUGUUAGUAAAAGUCAGGUAGCACCUCGAACCCCGUCCCGGCAUC